UUGAAUGAUGAAAUGCACUGGGCUCCGACAAUCUCUGAUGGAUACGCAUUUGCCUAGAAAGCAUUGUCUGACUU
RNAcentral lists this small nucleolar RNA (74 nucleotides) under Zostera marina. Lineage: Eukaryota; Viridiplantae; Streptophyta; Magnoliopsida; Alismatales; Zosteraceae. The record is from RNAcentral.